ACGGGAGGCAGCAGUGGGGAAUAUUGCACAAUGGGGGAAACCCUGAUGCAGCGACGCCGCGUGAACGAUGAAGUAUUUCGGUAUGUAAAGUUCUAUCAGCAGGGAAGAUAAUGACGGUACCUGACUAAGAAGCACCGGCUAAAUACGUGCCAGCAGCCGCGGUAAUACGUAUGGUGCGAGCGUUAUCCGGAUUUACUGGGUGUAGAGGGUGCGUAGGUGGCAUGGCAAGUCUGAAGUGAAAUGCGGGGGCUCAACCCCUGAACUGCUUUGGAAACUGUCAAGCUUGAGUACAGGAGAGGAAAGCGGAAUUCCUAGUGUAGCGGUGAAAUGCGUAGAUAUUAGGAGGAACACCAGUGGCGAAGGCGGCUUUCUGGACUGUAACUGACACUGAGGCACGAAAGCGUGGGGAGCGAACAGGAUUAGAUACCCUGGUA
RNAcentral lists this ribosomal RNA (434 nucleotides) under uncultured bacterium. RNAcentral's name for it is "partial 16S ribosomal RNA". It matches the Rfam family "Bacterial small subunit ribosomal RNA", at positions 341 to 792 of the family's 1533-position model. The record is from RNAcentral.